Long non-coding RNA from Homo sapiens (human), 489 nucleotides. RefSeq lists it as uncharacterized. Lineage: Eukaryota; Metazoa; Chordata; Mammalia; Primates; Hominidae. The record is from RefSeq and is a predicted model, not a curated record. The transcript is spliced from 3 exons.
UGGAUGGCUGAGGUCUUCUCCACUUAUCUCUCUCUGGGGUCCAGACUGCUGAGGUGGCAGCUACUCAGAAGACAGUUUUAUCAGGAUGAUUGCAGAGGUACAAGAAAGCAAGUCUCAAGGCAUAAAUACAUUUCAAGCCCAUUGCUUGUCUCUUGUCUACCCACCUGCCAUUGGCCAAAGUCAGUCGUGUAGCCAAGUCCAAAGCAGUUUUGUGGGAUGAACUGCACAUUUACAUGGCAGAUAUACAGGAAAAUGUUACUUAUCAUGGAACAAAUAUCUCGUGUUUACUGAAAUAAAAGUUCUAUUACAUUGCUUCAUGUCAGAGUAUACAGAGGGUUUAUGUGCUUCUCUGGGAAGAAAAGGAAAUACAGCUGUUUUGCAGCCCUACUCUAUGUGAAAACAAUGAGGAUGAAGACCUUUAUAAUGAUCCACUUCCACGUAGUGAGUAGUAAAUAUAUUUUCACUUCCUUAUGAUUUCUUAAUAACAUU